RNAcentral lists this long non-coding RNA (527 nucleotides) under Homo sapiens (human). Its description in RNAcentral is "HSALNT0406504". The record is from RNAcentral. Lineage: Eukaryota; Metazoa; Chordata; Mammalia; Primates; Hominidae.
CGCCGCGCAACGCACGUUACACGCAUCGCGGAGGGAGCGGAGGUGGUUGGGUUUCUGAGUUUGAGUCUGUCGCUCCUGGCUCUCCCGACACAACAGCGGCGCCCACCUGCCCGCAACGGACUCCCAGGAGCCUCGAGCUCCUCAUUUCCAAAGCUGAACUGCCCCGUGUCUGAUUCCGAUUUCUCUUGAGCGCGUUUCGGAGCCGGCCCAGAACAGAGGGAAGCCAGACACACCAUACCCGGCCCAACAGUGGCAGGGCGGCUGCGGGUGCUGGUCAAGCUGGGUCACCCGGCACUGAGUGACGAUCAGCAAAUACUCAGUGGACGAAAUAUUUGCAGUGCAGUGAGCUACUGUUUUCAGGCGAAGGAGUGAGGCUGAGAUUGACUUGAAGGCUUCAAAACCAGCUAAGCAAAGGAUUACUAGGAUCACAACAGAAACGUGAAGAUGGAAAAAGAAAGUCUGAGUAGAAGGCCAGUUUUGAAAGCCAAAGUAAUACAGAUGUUGGAGUCUACAUAUGGGACCUAGGA